Molecule: ribosomal RNA, 1372 nt
Filed under: uncultured bacterium
Lineage: Bacteria
Description: bacterial SSU rRNA
Rfam family: Bacterial small subunit ribosomal RNA
Source: RNAcentral
GAUGAACGCUGGCGGCGUGCCUAAUACAUGCAAGUCGAGCGAACGGACGAGAAGCUUGCUUCUCUGAUGUUAGCGGCGGACGGGUGAGUAACACGUGGAUAACCUACCUAUAAGACUGGGAUAACUUCGGGAAACCGGAGCUAAUACCGGAUAAUAUUUUGAACCGCAUGGUUCAAAAGUGAAAGACGGUCUUGCUGUCACUUAUAGAUGGAUCCGCGCUGCAUUAGCUAGUUGGUAAGGUAACGGCUUACCAAGGCAACGAUGCAUAGCCGACCUGAGAGGGUGAUCGGCCACACUGGAACUGAGACACGGUCCAGACUCCUACGGGAGGCAGCAGUAGGGAAUCUUCCGCAAUGGGCGAAAGCCUGACGGAGCAACGCCGCGUGAGUGAUGAAGGUCUUCGGAUCGUNAAACUCUGUUAUUAGGGAAGAACAUAUGUGUAAGUAACUGUGCACAUCUUGACGGUACCUAAUCAGAAAGCCACGGCUAACUACGUGCCAGCAGCCGCGGUAAUACGUAGGUGGCAAGCGUUAUCCGGAAUUAUUGGGCGUAAAGCGCGCGUAGGCGGUUUUUUAAGUCUGAUGUGAAAGCCCACGGCUCAACCGUGGAGGGUCAUUGGAAACUGGAAAACUUGAGUGCAGAAGAGGAAAGUGGAAUUCCAUGUGUAGCGGUGAAAUGCGCAGAGAUAUGGAGGAACACCAGUGGCGAAGGCGACUUUCUGGUCUGUAACUGACGCUGAUGUGCGAAAGCGUGGGGAUCAAACAGGAUUAGAUACCCUGGUAGUCCACGCCGUAAACGAUGAGUGCUAAGUGUUAGGGGGUUUCCGCCCCUUAGUGCUGCAGCUAACGCAUUAAGCACUCCGCCUGGGGAGUACGACCGCAAGGUUGAAACUCAAAGGAAUUGACGGGGACCCGCACAAGCGGUGGAGCAUGUGGUUUAAUUCGAAGCAACGCGAAGAACCUUACCAAAUCUUGACAUCCUUUGACAACUCUAGAGAUAGAGCCUUCCCCUUCGGGGGACAAAGUGACAGGUGGUGCAUGGUUGUCGUCAGCUCGUGUCGUGAGAUGUUGGGUUAAGUCCCGCAACGAGCGCAACCCUUAAGCUUAGUUGCCAUCAUUAAGUUGGGCACUCUAAGUUGACUGCCGGUGACAAACCGGAGGAAGGUGGGGAUGACGUCAAAUCAUCAUGCCCCUUAUGAUUUGGGCUACACACGUGCUACAAUGGACAAUACAAAGGGCAGCGAAACCGCGAGGUCAAGCAAAUCCCAUAAAGUUGUUCUCAGUUCGGAUUGUAGUCUGCAACUCGACUACAUGAAGCUGGAAUCGCUAGUAAUCGUAGAUCAGCAUGCUACGGUGAAUACGUUCCCGGGUCU